RNAcentral lists this ribosomal RNA (253 nucleotides) under uncultured bacterium. RNAcentral's name for it is "partial 16S ribosomal RNA". It matches the Rfam family "Bacterial small subunit ribosomal RNA", at positions 524 to 776 of the family's 1533-position model. The record is from RNAcentral.
UACGUAGGGCGCAAGCGUUAUCCGGAAUUAUUGGGCGUAAAGGGCUCGUAGGCGGUCUGUCGCGUCGGGAGUGAAAAACUCAGGGCUUAACCCUGAGCCUGCUUCCGAUACGGGCAGACUAGAGGUAUGCAGGGGAGAACGAAUUCCUGGUGUAGCGGUGGAAUGCGCAGAUAUCAGGAGGAACACCGGUGGCGAAGGCGGUUCUCUGGGCAUUACCUGACGCUGAGGAGCGAAAGUGUGGGGAGCGAACAGG